AUUGAACGCUGGCGGCAGGCUUAACACAUGCAAGUCGAGCGGGGUGAUGGUGCUUGCACUAUCACUUAGCGGCGGACGGGUGAGUAAUGCUUAGGAAUCUGCCUAUUAGUGGGGGACAACAUCUCGAAAGGGAUGCUAAUACCGCAUACGUCCUACGGGAGAAAGCAGGGGAUCACUUGUGACCUUGCGCUAAUAGAUGAGCCUAAGUCGGAUUAGCUAGUUGGUGGGGUAAAGGCCUACCAAGGCGACGAUCGGUAGCGGGUCUGAGAGGAUGGUCCGCCACACUGGAACUGAGAAACGGCCCAGACUCCUACGGGAGGCAGCAGUGGGGAAUAUUGGACAAUGGGGGGAACCCUGAUCCAGCCAUGCCGCGUGUGUGAAGAAGGCCUUAUGGUUGUAAAGCACUUUAAGCGAGGAGGAGGCUCUUUUGGUUAAUACCCAAGAUGAGUGGACGUUACUCGCAGAAUAAGCACCGGCUAACUCUGUGCCAGCCGCCGCCGUAA
RNAcentral lists this ribosomal RNA (503 nucleotides) under uncultured bacterium. RNAcentral describes it as "partial 16S ribosomal RNA". It matches the Rfam family "Bacterial small subunit ribosomal RNA", at positions 30 to 523 of the family's 1533-position model. The record is from RNAcentral.